GUGCCAGCAGCUGCGGUAAUACGGAGGGUGCAAGCGUUAAUCGGAAUUACUGGGCGUAAAGCGCACGCAGGCGGUCUGUCAAGUCGGAUGUGAAAUCCCCGGGCUCAACCUGGGAACUGCAUUCGAAACUGGCAGGCUAGAGUCUUGUAGAGGGGGGUAGAAUUCCAGGUGUAGCGGUGAAAUGCGUAGAGAUCUGGAGGAAUACCGGUGGCGAAGGCGGCCCCCUGGACAAAGACUGACGCUCAGGUGCGAAAGCGUGGGGAGCAAACAGGAUUAGAUACCCUGGUAGUCCACGCCGUAAACGAUGUCGACUUGGAGGUUGUGCCCUUGAGGCGUGGCUUCCGGAGCUAACGCGUUAAGUCGACCGCCUGGGGAGUACGGCCGCAAGGUUAAAACUCAAAUGAAUUGACGGGGGCCCGCACAAGCGGUGGAGCAUGUGGUUUAAUUCGAUGCAACGCGAAGAACCUUACCUACUCUUGACAUCCAGAGAACUUAGCAGAGAUGCUUUGGU
RNAcentral lists this ribosomal RNA (511 nucleotides) under uncultured Enterobacter sp. Its description in RNAcentral is "bacterial SSU rRNA". It matches the Rfam family "Bacterial small subunit ribosomal RNA", at positions 505 to 1015 of the family's 1533-position model. The record is from RNAcentral. Lineage: Bacteria; Pseudomonadati; Pseudomonadota; Gammaproteobacteria; Enterobacterales; Enterobacteriaceae.